This 461-nucleotide ribosomal RNA is filed under the name Sertularella cf. mediterranea CM-2011. RNAcentral's name for it is "partial 16S ribosomal RNA". It matches the Rfam family "Bacterial large subunit ribosomal RNA", at positions 1919 to 2542 of the family's 2925-position model. Lineage: Eukaryota; Metazoa; Cnidaria; Hydrozoa; Leptothecata; Sertulariidae. The record is from RNAcentral.
AAAAUUAAAAGGACGCGGUAACCUUGACCGUGAUAAUGUAGCAUAAUCAUUCGCCAUUUAAUUGAUGGAUAGUAUGAAUGGUUGAACGAAUAUUCCACUGUCUUAAAAAGAAAUAACAAAAAAUUAGAAUAAUAGUAAAGAUUCUAUUUAAAAUUGUAAGACGAAAAGACCCUAUAGAGCUUAACUAUAAAUUUUUUAGGUAAUUUAUUAUAAAAGAAAAUUUGGUAGUUUAGUUGGGGCGACUGUCUUUUAAAAAUAACAAAGACAAGCAAAAUUUAUAAUAAAAUUUAUUGUAUAAUAAAUAAAUUUAACAAUUACAAAAGUAGGCUAUAAUGACCCGUUAUUAUUAAAUAAAAAAAAAUAACGAUCAAUAAAUAAAAGCUACCUUAGGGAUAACAGGAUAAUUUUAUUUUAGAGAUCUAAUCGAAAAUAAAGUUUGUCACCUCUAUGUUGAAUUAAGA